UCCUAGAUCAUUGUCCUUGAUGUCCAGGC
RNAcentral lists this non-coding RNA (29 nucleotides) under Homo sapiens (human). The record is from RNAcentral. Lineage: Eukaryota; Metazoa; Chordata; Mammalia; Primates; Hominidae.